This 362-nucleotide unclassified non-coding RNA is filed under the name soil metagenome. RNAcentral's name for it is "partial contains 5.8S ribosomal RNA, internal transcribed spacer 2, and large subunit ribosomal RNA". The stretch from base 1 to 120 matches the Rfam family "5.8S ribosomal RNA", at positions 35 to 154 of the family's 154-position model. The record is from RNAcentral.
GAUGAAGAACGUAGCGAAAUGCGAUAAGUAAUGUGAAUUGCAGAAUUCAGUGAAUCAUCGAAUCUUUGAACGCUCCUUGCGCUCCUUGGUAUUCCGAGGAGCAUGCCUGUUUGAGUGUCAUUAAUAUAUCAACCUUCUCUUUUUUGAGUUGUUUGGAUGUGGGGGUUUGCUGGCCUCUUAAAUGAUUCAGCUCCCCUGAAAUGCAUUAGCAGAACAACCUGUUCAUUAGCGUGAUAAUUAUCUAUGCUAUUGAAUGUGAGGGCAGUUCAGCUUUCUAACCGUCCUUGGACAAUUCAUCAUUAAUGUGACCUCAAAUCAGGUAGGACUACCCGCUGAACUUAAGCAUAUCAAUAAGCGGAGGA